This 117-nucleotide small nuclear RNA is filed under the name Zalophus californianus (California sea lion). Lineage: Eukaryota; Metazoa; Chordata; Mammalia; Carnivora; Otariidae. The record is from RNAcentral.
CUGCUCGCUUUGACAGCACAUAUGCCAGAACUGGAACGAUAAAGAGAAGAUUAGUAUGGCCCCUCUGCAAGGAUGACAUGGAAAUUCAUGAAUUUCUUAAAAAAAUACCAUAUUUUU